Acanthosepion pharaonis is the source of this 98-nucleotide non-coding RNA. The record is from the annotation of a GenBank genome assembly. Lineage: Eukaryota; Metazoa; Mollusca; Cephalopoda; Sepiida; Sepiidae.
UUGAAUCACUGAUUCCUGUAUGAUCACUAAAGUUAAGCAAUGUCAAUCCUGGUCAGUACCUAGAUAGGUGACCAUGUGGGAAUACCAGGUGCUGUAAG